AUACUAACCUUGCGUAGGGUGUACCGUGAUCACGAAGGCGGUUGCCCCGGGCUGGCUCCAGCCAUUGCACUGCGGUUGGAUUCAGCUAGUCUGUGACUAUCUCAUAUCGAGGUACGUCGUACGCGUAAUUUUUGGUAGUUGGACUUGCGUUCUGCGCGGUCCUU
Molecule: non-coding RNA, 164 nt
Organism: Papilio machaon (common yellow swallowtail)
Lineage: Eukaryota; Metazoa; Arthropoda; Insecta; Lepidoptera; Papilionidae
Source: Rfam